This 1240-nucleotide long non-coding RNA is filed under the name Homo sapiens (human). Its description in RNAcentral is "HSALNT0351427". Lineage: Eukaryota; Metazoa; Chordata; Mammalia; Primates; Hominidae. The record is from RNAcentral.
AAAAGUAGCUGUGGGAGCAGAUCUCAGAGGAUUAUUAUGCUUGAUGCUGCUGUUAGAGAUAUUUGCUGUCUUACAGGCAAAGGAGAGAUUGUGGAAAAAGAAUGGGAUAGAGGUCUCUAACCCAGGCUGGAGUUCAUUGGCACAAUCUCAGCUCAUUACAGCCUUGACCUCCUGGACUCAAGCCAUCCUCCCACCUCGGCCUCCCAAGUAGCUGAAACCACAGGUAUGUGCAACCACACCCAGCUAAUUUUUGUAUUUUUUGUAGAGAGGAGGUUUUGCCGUGUUGCCCAGGCUGGUCUCGGACACCUGAGCUCAAGCAAUCUGCCCACCUCGGCCUCCCAAAGUGCUGGGAUUAUAGGCAUGAGUCGCCAGGCCCAGCAACAAAAUUUUAUGUAUGCAAUACAUUAAUUUUAACUAUAGGCACAAUGUUACACAGCAGAACUCUAGAAUUCAUUCAUUUUGUAUGACUACAAUUUUAGUACUCUAUAACUUAAAAGAAUAAUUAUGAUAUUGAUGAGAUUGACAAUCCAAUUAUAAUCCCAUUUGUAUUGGUUACUAUCAUCAGAUCUGGAUAUGAUUUUGAAUUUUACAGACUUUAUUUUUAUUCAGAUAUGAUUUUGUAUACACAAAGAUUAAACUAUGAUUUUACCAUGACUCGGGGAUAAAUUCUAAACAGCAGCAUAUAUGUUGAGAAGGCAAUACGAUAACUGUGAAAAAGUAAGUUGUCCUUUAGUGUUUGAAACUUGACAACUACAAAAACUGUGAAGACUGAAGAGAGAUAACUUGUAUAAAAUAUAAAGAAAUCCUAACCUUUUUAAAAAAGAACUAUCUUUAUGAGUGAGAAGAAAUAACUUAUAAAGUAUGUAGCCAUGAGCAAGUCAUCCUAUCUUUUCUUUCAUAAAGAUGUAUGUCGUAAUAGAUCAACUCUCUGCCCCUGCUUUACACAUUCAAUGUAUAUUUUUUCCUCCUCUAUUCUUUGGUACUGAAAUUACUUUAGAGGGUAGUUAAAGAAAAUUGAAAGUGUUUUGGAAUGUGUAAGAAUACAAGUUCAGACUGCAGUGAAACCUUUAAUAACUUGUGAAUUAUGUCAUCUGUGAAAUAACAAUAGAUGACAAACUCAGCUAUGAGCAGAGUAAAAGCAUCCUUUUCUUUUAGAAAAAGAAAAUAAUCUAGUUUCUUUCUGGAGUUGUGAUUAGCUUUAGAUUUUCAAUGUUCGUUUUGCAAAGAUUUAAUAUACCAU